GGGCUACGACUAACUCCCAACCCAAUGUGAACCAUACCAAACUGUUGCCUCGGCGGGGUCACGCCCCGGGUGCGUCGCAGCCCCGGAACCAGGCGCCCGCCGGAGGGACCAACCAAACUCUUUCUGUAGUCCCCUCGCGGACGUUAUUUCUCACAGCUCUGAGCAAAAAUUCAAAAUGAAUCAAAACUUUCAACAACGGAUCUCUUGGUUCUGGCAUCGAUGAAGAACGCAGCGAAAUGCGAUAAGUAAUGUGAAUUGCAGAAUUCAGUGAAUCAUCGAAUCUUUGAACGCACAUUGCGCCCGCCAGUAUUCUGGCGGGCAUGCCUGUCCGAGCGUCAUUUCAACCCUCGAACCCCUCCGGGGGGUCGGCGUUGGGGAUCGGGAACCCCUAAGACGGGAUCCCGGCCCCGAAAUACAGUGGCGGUCUCGCCGCAGCCUCUCCUGCGCAGUAGUUUGCACAACUCGCACCGGGAGCGCGGCGCGUCCACGUCCGUAAAACACCCAACUUCUGAAAUGUUGACCUCGGAUCAGGUAGGAAUACCCGCUGAACUUAAGCAUAUCAAAAGUCCGGAGGAA
This 576-nucleotide ribosomal RNA is filed under the name Trichoderma petersenii. RNAcentral describes it as "eukaryotic LSU rRNA". The stretch from base 185 to 338 matches the Rfam family "5.8S ribosomal RNA". The record is from RNAcentral. Lineage: Eukaryota; Fungi; Ascomycota; Sordariomycetes; Hypocreales; Hypocreaceae.